Molecule: ribosomal RNA, 253 nt
Filed under: uncultured bacterium
Lineage: Bacteria
Description: partial 16S ribosomal RNA
Rfam family: Bacterial small subunit ribosomal RNA
Source: RNAcentral
UACGAAGGGGGCUAGCGUUGUUCGGAAUCACUGGGCGUAAAGCGCACGUAGGCGGAUCUUUAAGUCAGGGGUGAAAUCCCGAGGCUCAACCUCGGAACUGCCUUUGAUACUGGGGAUCUCGAGUCCGGGAGAGGUGAGUGGAACUGCGAGUGUAGAGGUGAAAUUCGUAGAUAUUCGCAAGAACACCAGUGGCGAAGGCGGCUCACUGGCCCGGAACUGACGCUGAUGUGCGAAAGCGUGGGGAGCAAACAGG